CGCGGAGUAGCCAAGUGGUAAGGCGCGGCUCUGCAAAAGCCGAAUCGGCGGUUCAAUUCCGCCCUCCGCGUCCA
This 74-nucleotide transfer RNA is filed under the name Flavobacteriales bacterium. Its description in RNAcentral is "tRNA-Cys". It matches the Rfam family "tRNA". Rfam says of the family: Transfer RNA (tRNA) molecules are approximately 80 nucleotides in length. Their secondary structure includes four short double-helical elements and three loops (D, anti-codon, and T loops). Lineage: Bacteria; Pseudomonadati; Bacteroidota; Flavobacteriia; Flavobacteriales. The record is from RNAcentral.